CUAGUAUGUUCUUUUUGAACUUUGGAUCGAUUUUUAGGGUGCAAAACACUUCUUGCAAGCUCGUCUAUUCUCUCUCCACCCAUUUCUCCAUUUAGGGCAUAAUGUGUUGCUAAUCUGAGCCUAUUGAGAAAUCGAUUCCGAUCCAUUCCUAUCAAUGUUGCGAUUAAGAGCUUUCCAGCUGACGAAUGACAAGAUCGUCAAGAUUCAGUUGCAUCCCACGCAUCCAUGGCUCGUCACCAUCGAUGCCUCUGAUCACGUCUCUGUUUGGAAUUGGGAACAACGCUAGGUGAUUUACAAAGGGUCAAUGCAAUCAAACCUUGAAUGUUUCCUCCAUGGUACAACCCUAGUGCUCCAACCCCAGUUCUUGCCCAAGUUUCGUGUUU
Molecule: long non-coding RNA, 383 nt
Organism: Rosa chinensis
Lineage: Eukaryota; Viridiplantae; Streptophyta; Magnoliopsida; Rosales; Rosaceae
Exons: 2
Source: RefSeq, a predicted model, not a curated record